Non-coding RNA from Kocuria sp. SM24M-10, 59 nucleotides. The record is from Rfam. Lineage: Bacteria; Bacillati; Actinomycetota; Actinomycetes; Micrococcales; Micrococcaceae.
GGGGGUUGCUCUUCUCCUUCGGAUCGUCCGGCACGUGCCUGCCGGGAAAGAGGCUUGUU